AAGUCGGGUUACGAUGCAGUGCCCAAUUGCGUGCUAACCUAGAUCCCACAAAGGGUGUUGGUCGAUUAAGACAGCAGGAUGGUGGUCAUGGAAGUCGAAAUCCACUAAGGAGUGUGUAACAACUCACUUGCCGAAUGAACUAGCCCCGAAAAUGGAUGACGCUUAAGCGCUCAACCUAUACUCGGUCGUCAGGGUAAGAGCUAGCUUGCUUUGAG
Molecule: non-coding RNA, 215 nt
Filed under: Ipomoea nil (Japanese morning glory)
Lineage: Eukaryota; Viridiplantae; Streptophyta; Magnoliopsida; Solanales; Convolvulaceae
Description: Eukaryotic large subunit ribosomal RNA
Rfam family: Eukaryotic large subunit ribosomal RNA
Source: Rfam by way of RNAcentral